RNAcentral lists this ribosomal RNA (498 nucleotides) under uncultured bacterium. RNAcentral describes it as "partial 16S ribosomal RNA". It matches the Rfam family "Bacterial small subunit ribosomal RNA", at positions 899 to 1397 of the family's 1533-position model. The record is from RNAcentral.
ACUCAAAUGAAUUGACGGGGGCCCGCACAAGCGGUGGAGCAUGUGGUUCAAUUCGACGCAACGCGAAGAACCUUACCUGGGCUCGAAGCGCAGUGGACCGGGGUGGAAACAUCCUUUCCCGCAAGGGCUGCUGCGUAGGUGCUGCAUGGCUGUCGUCAGCUCGUGUCGUGAGAUGUUGGGUUAAGUCCCGCAACGAGCGCAACCCUUAUUGCCAGUUGCCAUCGGGUUAUGCCGGGCACUCUGGCGAAACCGCCCCGGAUAACGGGGAGGAAGGUGGGGAUGACGUCAAGUCCUCAUGGCCUUUAUGUCCAGGGCUACACACGUGCUACAAUGGCCGGUACAAACCGUCGCAAACCCGUGAGGGUGAGCUAAUCGGAGAAAGCCGGCCUUAGUUCGGAUUGGAGUCUGCAACUCGACUCCAUGAAGCUGGAAUCGCUAGUAAUCGCGGAUCAGAACGCUGCGGUGAAUACGUUCCCGGGCCUUGUACACACCGCCCGU